GCCAAUGGAGACGCAGGAUCGGCCGGCGGCCAUCUGGCGGCCCAAUGGACGCCGCCGAGGGCCUGACCGAGUGGAGGAAGCGAGGGGGCAACAAAGGGCCUUGUAGUGGUUGACGAGAUCAUCGGGGUGCGAGCCGCGCGGCCCGGUGGCGCCGGUACCGUCUUCGGAACGAUCAUCGUCCAGGCGCUUCCCCGCCAACGUCACCUACGAGGACGAGGAGCUCUGAAGCGUUUCCUAGUCAUGCCUAAGGAGCCAAUUAUCAGGUGGCCUGAAGCAGAAGAUUCUGGUGAAUCUCUUCUUGGGCAUUU
Molecule: long non-coding RNA, 308 nt
Organism: Colius striatus (speckled mousebird)
Lineage: Eukaryota; Metazoa; Chordata; Aves; Coliiformes; Coliidae
Exons: 3
Source: RefSeq, a predicted model, not a curated record